UUCUCCUCCACGCACACCGCACCACGCUACCGCCCUCAAGCCUCUCCUGCCCGAUCCAAGCCACAGCCAUCGCCUGGCCCCCAACGCCGCCACGCACAGGCUGCCGCGUCUUGUUGCCGCCCCGCUCUUUCAGGGGACAGUCCGCAAAACCGCCGAUCUGUGGCGGGCUGGCGGCAGCUGAUAUGCUUCCCUGCCAUCCCUGGAAGUCUGGAGCGGCGGUGUAGAAUGACCUCUCGCGACCAGAAACUCUGCACUAGUUAUGUUGCAGCUGGCCGUUCUUUACUUCUUUCUGUCACCAGUCACCGAGCUGCACGAUGCCUAGAUUCGCGCUGAAGAGGCAAUUGAUCUUUUUAGUAUCAAGUGCAAAGAUCUGCGUCAAGCGAGAAGCCGCGAACGUCCGGGUGAUGGUUGCUUUCAGGGGAUUUAUUCUGUGAGAAGGCAUUUCUGGAUGCUGAGCACACGAGGCAAGAAAAUUUUCAGAAGCCAAAUUUUGGAUGAUGCCGACGUGUACGGUAUUCUACUGUAAGCUUAUGUAAAUAUGGUCUUCUAAUCCUAGGUGACCCGUUAAUUAAGGGAAGCCUGACCCUUUUUGUUUUACUUUGUUCCAAUUACCAGUUAAUGUAAAUCUUUUCGAAAAGGAGAAAAAGGUAUAGCUUUCAGUCGGAAGUCGUUCUUCUUUGACUUAAAACAACAGAAUGUAAUUGAGCAAAACCAUUGAGUUUUCUAUGGCAUCAGGCCCUGCUUAAUUCAGUA
This is a long non-coding RNA of Panicum virgatum (switchgrass), 753 nucleotides long. RefSeq lists it as uncharacterized. The transcript has 2 exons. The record is from RefSeq and is a predicted model, not a curated record. Lineage: Eukaryota; Viridiplantae; Streptophyta; Magnoliopsida; Poales; Poaceae.